UAAUAAAAAGAAAAUUCGUCA
RNAcentral lists this non-coding RNA (21 nucleotides) under Caenorhabditis elegans. Lineage: Eukaryota; Metazoa; Nematoda; Chromadorea; Rhabditida; Rhabditidae. The record is from RNAcentral.